This 399-nucleotide ribosomal RNA is filed under the name Drosophila sulfurigaster sulfurigaster. RNAcentral's name for it is "partial 12S ribosomal RNA". The record is from RNAcentral. Lineage: Eukaryota; Metazoa; Arthropoda; Insecta; Diptera; Drosophilidae.
UAUGUUCUUGAAACUUAAAAAAUUUGGCGGUAUUUUAGUCUAUCCAGAGGAACCUGUUUUGUAAUCGAUAAUCCACGAUGGACCUUACUUAAGUUUGUAAUCAGUUUAUAUACCGUCGUUAUCAGAAUAUUUUAUAAGAAUAAAAAUAUUCAAUAAUUUAUAUUAAAAUUUAUAUCAGAUCAAGGUGUAGCUUAUAUUUAAGUAAUAAUGGGUUACAAUAAAAAUAUUUAAACGAAUAAAAUAAUGAAAAAAUUUUUGAAGGUGGAUUUGGUAGUAAAAUUAUAAAGAUUAAUAAUUUGAUUUUAGCUCUAAAAUAUGUACACAUCGCCCGUCGCUCUUAUUAUUAAGGUAAGAUAAGUCGUAACAUAGUAGAUGUACUGGAAAGUGUAUCUAGAAUGA